RNAcentral lists this long non-coding RNA (377 nucleotides) under Malus domestica (apple). RNAcentral's name for it is "long non-coding RNA (MDOM_LNC018876)". Lineage: Eukaryota; Viridiplantae; Streptophyta; Magnoliopsida; Rosales; Rosaceae. The record is from RNAcentral.
UUCAUCGCAGGAAUCCCCUGGCGGACGAGCACACAGCUCCCCUGGGAGAAUGGCGUCGGUUGAGGGUAUCUGUCGUACUUCUGCUUUCUUCUCGGGCUUGCUCGGGCAAGCCUUUGUCGGGCAGAUCUUGGUCGGGCAAGACACACUUCGGGCAAGGCUCGUCGGGCAGUUCUGAAAGAGAAUGACAGAGUUAAUUUGAAAGGGUGCCUUUGUGGGGCCUUAGGUGUAGGCCUUAAGGCUCACAAUCAAGAUCAACUUUGUCGUGCUCAGGCGUGCCACUGCCAUCUUCAGUAUGGCAGAUGUUGAAUGGGUGUUAAGCUUUGAUUGAAUAUGUAUACGCCCGAGAAACCAAGUUAGAUAUAACAGGUGCCUUUGUA